Pelobates cultripes (western spadefoot toad) is the source of this 75-nucleotide non-coding RNA. The record is from the annotation of a GenBank genome assembly. Lineage: Eukaryota; Metazoa; Chordata; Amphibia; Anura; Pelobatidae.
CCUAUCAACUUUCGAUGUUACUUUCUGCGCCAACCAUGGCGACCACAGGUAAUGGGCAAUCAGGGUUCGAUUCCA